GUGGUAACUGCAACCCCAAGUGCCCAAAACCAGACAACGUCAUCUGCCACUGAUGGAGUAACUGAUGGUGCGAGUGAGGAUGCUGUUGUGUUAAUUGAAUCUGCAAAAUGGGACCACCUCUGAAUCUGCAAUCUGCAAAAUGGGACUACCUCUGCCCAAGAUGGAACCACCAUCACUGAUUCCCAUGAUGACUCCUGAAGUGACUGCUCAGAAUGCUAAUGGUGAAUGGAACUUCUCCUUUAUCCUGGGUCACUUUCUGCACUUGGGCUUUCUCCAUCU
Long non-coding RNA from Alosa sapidissima (American shad), 279 nucleotides. RefSeq lists it as uncharacterized. The transcript is spliced from 3 exons. NCBI's taxonomy places the organism in Eukaryota, Metazoa, Chordata, Actinopteri, Clupeiformes, Clupeidae. The record is from RefSeq and is a predicted model, not a curated record.